CCUACGGGUGACUGCAGUGGGGAAUAUUGCACAAUGGGGGAAACCCUGAUGCAGCGACGCCGCGUGAGUGAAGAAGAGUUUCGGCGCGUAAAGCUCUGUCAGCGGGGAAGAAACACGGGUAGCGAGAGCCGCGGACGGUACCCGACCAAGAAGCCCCGGCUAACUACGGGCCAGCAGCCGCGGUAAUACGUAGGGGGCAAGCGUUAUCCGGAUUCACUGGGUGUAAAGGGAGCGUAGACGGCGAGACAAGUCUGGAGGGAAAGGCCGGGGCCCAACCCCGGGACUGCUCUGGAAACUGCCUGGCUUGCGUACAGGAGAGGUAAGUGGAAUUCCUAGUGUAGCGGUGCACUGCGUAGAUAUUAGGAGGAACCCCAGUGGCGAAGGCGGCUUACUGGACUGUAACUGACGUUGAGGCUCGAAAGCGUGGGGAGCAAACAGGCUUAGAUACCCCAGUAGUC
This 458-nucleotide ribosomal RNA is filed under the name uncultured bacterium. RNAcentral's name for it is "partial 16S ribosomal RNA". It matches the Rfam family "Bacterial small subunit ribosomal RNA", at positions 338 to 795 of the family's 1533-position model. The record is from RNAcentral.